Molecule: unclassified non-coding RNA, 644 nt
Filed under: Apis florea (little honeybee)
Lineage: Eukaryota; Metazoa; Arthropoda; Insecta; Hymenoptera; Apidae
Description: u-scoloptoxin(01)-Er1a, transcript variant X1
Source: RNAcentral
UGGCACGUAACCGCCCAUGAUGGCGGGCAGGAUCGAGAUCCACAAUAACGGGAGAGAUAUCAUCUACGGGCAGUGGAUCGGCGAUUAAUUUGUUUCCCUAAACGCUCGAAAAAGUUUCGUUGUGAAUUUUUUUCACAUGGAAAAGCGGUCAACGAAGGCGCAUUUCUAUUCGGUUUAGAAGAAAGCCGAGAAGACUGGCUGCGAUUGGUGAACAUUUGUGAAAGUUAGAUUUCCUGACUUGUUUUACGAGCUACAGUGACAUCUAUUGGCUUGUUCGUCGUAGUCGUCUCUUUACCAACCUUGGGUUACGUAGAUCGACACCGUUUAGAGACUUACGAAGAUUUUUCCGAGGAACGACUUGGCGAUUUGGAUUUUUUUAACAACCUGACCUUUCGAUUCUCUUGCGAGGGCAAACCGAUUGGCCUGUACGCGGAUCUAGAAUACGAUUGCCGAAUUUUCCACGCUUGCGAUGAUUCGGGAAAAGGUUUCCCCGUCGUCUGUCCGAACGAUACGUUUUUCGAUCAACGGGAACGCGUGUGCAGCGACGAAGAACACGUGGACUGUGAACACGCGAACGAAUGGUUUUAUUUAAACGAGUUGCCAUUCUCGGUGGAAGAGACGGAGGAGAAUCACGCUCGAACAGA